CCUACGGGAGGCAGCAGUGAGGAAUAUUGGUCAAUGGUCGGGAGACUGAACCAGCCAAGCCGCGUGAGGGAUGAAGGUACAGAGUAUCGUAAACCUCUUUUGUCAGGGAACAAAGGCGGGGACGUGUCCCCGGAUGAGUGUACCUGAAGAAAAAGCAUCGGCUAACUCCGUGCCAGCAGCCGCGGUAAUACGGAGGAUGCGAGCGUUAUCCGGAUUUAUUGGGUUUAAAGGGUGCGCAGGCGGUCUGUUAAGUCAGCGGUCAAAGCCCGGGGCUCAACCCCGGCCCGCCGGUGAAACCUGGGAGUCUCGAGUUGGAGAGAAGGAUGCGGAAUGCGCGGUGUAGCGGUGAAAUGCAUAGAUAUCGCGAAGAACCCCGAUUGCGAAGGCAGCAUGCCGGCUCAACACUGACGCUGAGGCACGAAAGCGUGGGUAUCGAACAGGAUUAGAUACCCCAGUAGUC
RNAcentral lists this ribosomal RNA (460 nucleotides) under uncultured bacterium. Its description in RNAcentral is "partial 16S ribosomal RNA". It matches the Rfam family "Bacterial small subunit ribosomal RNA", at positions 338 to 795 of the family's 1533-position model. The record is from RNAcentral.